Lycium ferocissimum is the source of this 1130-nucleotide long non-coding RNA. RefSeq lists it as uncharacterized. The transcript has 2 exons. The record is from RefSeq and is a predicted model, not a curated record. Lineage: Eukaryota; Viridiplantae; Streptophyta; Magnoliopsida; Solanales; Solanaceae.
UAUAAGUUUAGUAUACCACAUGUAUAUAUACAUAAGUAGGCCUCAGUUUUUUUUAUGGACCGAGUCUAGCCCAACAAGGGCCAGACUCGGCCCAUUCCUCUUUGAUAAAAAACCCUCGCCUCAACUCCUAAACAGGCCCUUUGGCAUUUUUGCUUCUUCAACUAGGGUUUGCCACCGCCAUGUUACCCCCCCCCCCCUCUCUCUCUCUCUCUCUCUCUUCAUCGUCAUCAUCGAUGAAAGUAGUAAGUUUUCAGGCGAAGAACCUUUUUGCCAAGUUGUGUUUAACCAUUUGAGGCAAAGGCAUUAAAUGCCUUCACCUACUAUCCUUUCCCCUACCGAGAAACCACCACGAAAACGGUAAAAUCUCUUUUCCCUCUUACUUUUUAAUUUCUUUUAGUUUUACAGGUACAAAUCCAUUAAUGGGAUUUGUCUCUACCCAUUUGAAUCUCGAUCUCUCAUUGGCUCAUCAAGGUUCAACUGGAUUGAUCGAUAAAAGGGUAAAUCUGACCCUUCAUAUAUCGAUUACCUUGAAUCCUAGCCAUUGCAUAUUGAUAUAUAGGAGAAUUUCUCAGAUUUUGAGAAGUCCCACAUCGUUUAGAUAUUAGGGUUUCUCAGAUUUUGGGUUCUAUAAAUAGAACCCUCAAAUUUACAUUUUUGAAGGGAUCGAAUAUCAGAUAUUCACAUAAAAACUCGGAGCACUUAAGUUUUUUUUUUUGCAUAUUUGCUUUUAAACUUUAAUUUUCCUGAGUUAAGUUAAAAUUUCUUAAAUAUUUUCUCUUUUGUUCGUGUGGCUGAGUUGUAGGUGAAGGAGUUUGAAGAAUCUUCAAGUCCAAUACUCGAUUGAGGCUGCACACGAGAAAGUCAACAUAUUUACCCUUCUUCUUUAUUAAUUUAUUUGAGGCACAACACUUUUCUUUGAUCGAGUCCGGGAGAUAGAAAGGGAAGCAAAUAUGAUGAAGGCCCAUCCAUGGGUGAAAAUGGAGGCUGGCGGGUUUGGUAGGCCCACCAGCUUAAUUUUCUUCCUUUUCAUUUAUGUUUAUAUGUUAUCUAUGUAUAUGUAUUGUAUAUGUAAACAUAUUGUAUAUGUAAACAAACUAUGUGAAAUAUUGAAACCCUUAUAUAUGUUAGAA